AGAUGAAGGGAGAGUGAAGAUCAUUUGUCAUGUCACCCUAUAAACAUUUUGAAGAGAGUCCAUUGAUAUAAAGCAUAAAUAUGUUCCUGUUGGCAAAGACAGGAGCAGUGUUUUCUGAUUAUAAAGAGUGUUUGUUGGAGCUACAGGAGUGUGGAAGCAAUUUCAGAAACAUCAUUGCCAGGAGACUCUGGCAGAGAGAAUUCAAACAACUGCCAUGGGAAGUGGGUUACAGCCUUCACAGGUCAUACAUGCUAAAAUACCAGAGUGGAAUGUCCUGAUGUUUGGUGGGAUUCUCAGGGGAGUAAGCAGGCCAGAGAAAGGCGACAUAGCUUACCUGUGUUUCUGUGGUGAGCCUGAGCACCAGAACAAGAACCCCACUUCCCAGUGACCUCUGUCCACUUCAGAAGGCGAGUGUAUUUAAAUAGGAUGCUGGGUUUCUGAAGUUGCAUAAGAAGACAGUUGAAUCUGAAGAAAGGCAGGCCAAAAACAAGGCAAUGCAGGUAAUAGUGAAGCAGGUGUGAGAAUGAGACCCAUUAUGCUUGGGAUCUGUGUGCAGCCAGCAAAUGUCGAUUAGGUAGCUGGUACUGAUCUGUAGCUGGUUAGUGGCCUUAUGUAAAAUAUAAUUUUCGUCGCUGGGCUCUUUGAAGGGUAUAUUUUUGGCUUGCCAUUCUCUCUACUCUGACUUCUCGACCCAACGUUCCAAUGGAAAUUUUCCAGAGCAGCGAAAUUUUAAAAUGCAUGGGCAAGAGGAGAAAUAGAAAUCAAAACCCUAAAACUAACCUGACAAGAGCGACUACAUCUAUCUAUUCUAGCUCCCCCCACCCCUCACUCCCUCAGAAAUAAACCUGCAUCUUCUGACAGAGUUUAGUUUCACAAAAUGAGAUGUACACACUGAUGAAACAGGAAAUGUAGGCAGAGAGGCAGGAGGAGGAGGCUGGGGGCGGCGGCGAGCAAAGGGGGAAGAAGUAAUGGCUUGGAUGCUAGCUGAAGAAGCCUUAAAGAUCCUAAAGAUUAUUGGGCAAUAAUUUUUACUUUGGAACUCAUUUUGCUGUUCCAAAGAAUGAUAAAACAUCUUAAUAAUUGCUUUAAAUAACCACACAGCUCCAUCAAAACAGCAUGAAAUAACACCCACAUAUGAGCAAACCUAUCUUCUGCCACGGCUGUCUUUAUAGCUUGAGAAAUCCUUAAGGAAGCAACAGGAUAAAAAAUUGAUAGAAGCAUCAUCUAGUCAGGGCCCUCAGGAUUCUAGAUUACUCCGGCCUGGGAGAGAGAUGUUUGCAGGGUGCCCUGCUCGUCCUUGAUAUCCUGAGAUCUUCAGCUGAGACAGUCAGGAAAAGGUCAUUGUUUUCAUUCUCUGAACAUUUGGCUGGAGUGGAGAUGGCAGCAUUUCAGGAUUUUCAGAAGUUCUCUACAUCUACAAGGACUUCAACCAAUCCCAAGAUUUUCUUUCUAUCCACUGGGAUUUCAGGGUACUGUGAGACCAGAGCCUUCCAGCAUAUGCUCUCCUUACACUGAUAGAAGGUGUUAAAAGCAAGCCAGCUCAAUCAAAAAAAGGCAUAUUACUUUAACUCCUUAAGUCUUGUUUCUGGCUUCAUAAGAGCUGCAGGAAAAUAGGAGGGUUCAUAAUUCAAAUUUCCGGAAUUGAUUUCUGAUAGAAAGGGGCUUAGUAGAGGGAUAUAACAAAAAGCUAAAUUUUAAGAACAUGUUUCCUGCUUGCUUACCUGUUUAGAGAAUUUUUGGUUUGAUUCAUGAAUUAAGAAUGCUUUAUAUUAGCGAGUAGAGAUCCAUUACCCUUUCUCAGCAGACCUUUCCAGCCCGUCAGAGUACAAGCUUUCUAGUUAACCUGAGAAUCCUGAUUUUGCCUGCCUCCUCGGAGUCGAGGGGGAGGGUGGGUAGAAUGUGCAGAAGGUGCUCAUUGAAUAAAUCAGAUAACUCGCAGAGUGGUAUUCAUCAUCCCUGGGCUGGGUGUGCAGCUGGACUGGGGAAUAGCUGCAAAUUUCAGGUCUCAACUCCAGUCCUAAAGCUGAUACGGAUUGUACCACCACCAAGCCCUCUGCUUGCCAGCUUCUGCUAAGGAGACAGUUGCUACAGACGCGAUGACAACUCAACUCCCUUCAAUUUCAGUGUGUUGCAAUUAACUAAGGAAUCUAAUUUUCACAAAAGACUGUUAUCAGUGAUGGUGCCAGCUUAGCAGGGGCACCAAUCUACUCUGCAAUCUAAUAUCAUGGAGCCUCACACAACCCUAUUUCUUUUUUAAUGAUGCUCAUAAAACUAUUCUUUGAAGGAA
Pteropus alecto (black flying fox) is the source of this 2287-nucleotide long non-coding RNA. RefSeq lists it as uncharacterized. The record is from RefSeq and is a predicted model, not a curated record. The transcript is spliced from 3 exons. Lineage: Eukaryota; Metazoa; Chordata; Mammalia; Chiroptera; Pteropodidae.